GAAGAGACAUGGGAAAUAAAAGCAAGUAGAAAAUUAUACUGAAAGAUUCAAGCUGAAAGAAAUAAAGACAAAGAGGGAGGGGAGAAGAAAGAACACUUACCAGCUUCUGGAUUCCUACCCAGAGGACUACAGAUUCAAAUAGCCAUUUCACCUAACUACUUUGAAUCAAAUGGGAAAACCUUCACAUAUCCCAGAUUGCAGAAAUAUGCUGUCGUAAGAGCUGGCUGGAGUGCAACGUUACCUGUAUAUGUGGCUGCACCCCUGUCUGAGUUUUGCAGAGCAGAGAGCAGAAGCCUCCUGUUUUGCCAGCAGUUUAAAACCAUUGAAGAGAUAAUGCUAGACCUUCAGAGAAGAGACAGGUGGAUUCUUUAUCACUUCUCCGCCUGGGAAGCCCUUUCUACCAGAGGUGACCACUAUUCUGAGUGCUAUCACCACAGAUGAGUUCUGCCAGUCCUUUCACCUGAUGUAGAUGGAAACAUGCUGUAUCAACUCUCUUGCAUCUUGAUUGACUGACUCAUUAUAAUGUUUUUGACAUUCACCCAUGUGUUAUAUGAAUGUGUAAUUUGUUCCUUUUUUGGCACACACUAUUCCAUUGCAUGGAGUUACCACCAUUUGUCUGUCCAUCCACAAGAAAAUGUAAACAUGUUGUUUUGGGUAUUUUACUAUUAUGAAUAAAGCUGCAAUGAAC
Bos taurus (domestic cattle) is the source of this 688-nucleotide long non-coding RNA. Lineage: Eukaryota; Metazoa; Chordata; Mammalia; Artiodactyla; Bovidae. The record is from Ensembl.